UCUCUUUUUUUGAGUAUUGUUUGUAUUAAUUCUAUCUUCUUUUUUUCCCUUUCUCAGUCUCGUAGCUCAGCUGGUUAGAGUGCUACACUGAUAAUGUAGAGGUCGGCAGUUCGAGUCUGCCCGGGACUACUUUUAUAAGGGGGAUUAGCUCAGCUGGCUAGAGCGCCUGCCUUGCACGCAGGAGGUCAUCGGUUCGAUUCCGAUAUUCUCCACAUUAAAGUUCUUUGACAUAUUGUAAUGAAUAUAUAUACUUAAUUUUUAAAAGUUAUUAAGGGCGUAUGGCGGAUGCCUAGGCUCUCAAAGGCGAUGAAGGACGUGACAAGCUGCGAUAAGUUUCGAUAAGGUGCAAAUAACCGUUUAAUCGAAGAUUUCCGAAUGG
RNAcentral lists this unclassified non-coding RNA (379 nucleotides) under uncultured Bacteroidota bacterium. RNAcentral's name for it is "uncultured Bacteroidetes bacterium partial 16S-23S ribosomal RNA intergenic spacer". The stretch from base 259 to 379 matches the Rfam family "Bacterial large subunit ribosomal RNA", at positions 1 to 121 of the family's 2925-position model. The record is from RNAcentral. Lineage: Bacteria; Pseudomonadati; Bacteroidota.